CUUCUGGCCCCAUGGGGAAGGAUGAGAAGCUUCGACUAAGGUUCGACUCGAGCGAAGCGAGAGAACGUUGCCGCAGGCAACGGCCCGAAGGGCGAGGCGCUUUAGCGCCGAGUAAUCCUUCCCCCACCACCA
This 132-nucleotide small RNA is filed under the name Klebsiella pneumoniae. RNAcentral's name for it is "RtT sRNA". It matches the Rfam family "RtT RNA". From Rfam's summary of the family: This family represents a bacterial cis-regulatory element known as RtT RNA. The exact function of RtT is unknown although it is thought that it may be involved in changing the cellular response in relation to amino acid starvation. Lineage: Bacteria; Pseudomonadati; Pseudomonadota; Gammaproteobacteria; Enterobacterales; Enterobacteriaceae. The record is from RNAcentral.